GGGAUCUUGAUUGAAAGCUGUCAUUUCCUGUUUUCUAUUAUAUAUAAAUGUACAAACUAUAAGUAUUAUAUUAAAUUUUUUAGACACUGGCUCUAUGGAGAGAGAAUAAAGAACAAUUCAGAAAGAAACUCAGGAAAACAUCAACAGAAGGGCUGGUUCCCCAGAAAGUGUGUUGUAGAGUUUACCAGCAUUCACUGUGAUGUUACCAAAAUACAGAAAAAAUACCAGUGAGAACUUUGUUAGAUUUGGUGAAUGCCACAGAAUAACCUUGAGAGGCAUAUCUGUUCAUAAAGGGUUGUGCACUGUAAUGUUUUAUUGUUAAUUUUAAGUUAACAUCAGAUUACGAUACAUUUUUAUCCAAAUAAACAUUAUUGUGCUAGGUGUUAUUUAGACUCCGACUGGUCAAUUUGGUUUUGAAAUAAAUGUAAUUUUUUUUGUCAUAUGGUUGAUGAUUUUCGUACUCUUUGGGAAAAGAUUCCAGUUAAUUGAAUGUGGUUGCUGGAAAAAAUAGUUUAACUCUAAAUAUAAUAUGUUUACUAAAGCAUUUAAGUUUUGUCUUCAAUAUACAAAAGACCUAUCCAUUCUUACCCAUAAAAUACAGUUCAGCAUUGUUUGUAUGAAUGAAUACUAAUAAGUCUUCAGUUUCCUUUAUUGAAUGAAUUCAACAGACAAACAAAUAGCAAAUUAUAAUAGACAGAUGAAACAAAAGAAAAAUUAACAUCUCCGAAAGUCCUUGGAACAGUUUAAUGUUAAAAAUUUUAAUUUAACUAUCCAUCACUGUCUGUAUCUCCAGGUAAUUUCUAAAUGCAGUUAGUUUCAGAAUACCAUAUUAAGCUUUAAAAUAUUUUAUUUUAAAAAUAUUACACAUUCAACCUGUUUAUUCUUAGCAAAAUAACACACUUUACCCGAUUCAUUUGGUUACUAUAUUAGUGAUCAUGACCUUGAAAAAUUUAUUUAAAUUAACAUUUACAUUAUAUUGGGAACACAAAUAUUCAGAACAUUAGACAUUUCAAAGCCAGCAAAUAUAUGCUACAAUUGGCUUUCCUUUAACUGUGUGUUUAAAACAAACUAGUAAGGCUAAUUUCAUUUUCUAACAAUGUCACUAAAAAACUUUCAUGGCAGUAGAAAUUUGCACUAUAUUGUGUACUUCAAGAAUGUACAUAGACAAAAAUAUUUUUUAAAUUUAUAACAAUCUUUUCAUUUAUGUGUAUGUAUUUAUACAAUUUAAAAUAGAUUCCUAGUAACUUGUAGUAGUCAAUGAGAUUAUUACUUUCUCUACCAUGAGACAUUUUCUUGUUUGGUUACUUGUAAAUACUGAAAGUGAUUAAGUGUAAUGUUUACGUACUGUUACAUGUACAAUAAUUUUUUCUUUUUGUAUUGAAUCAUAAUCAGUCGUUAUUGAAAUAUUUAAUAGAGAAAAUAAAACUCUUAGCAUUUUUUAGGUA
Long non-coding RNA from Limulus polyphemus (Atlantic horseshoe crab), 1445 nucleotides. RefSeq lists it as uncharacterized. The record is from RefSeq and is a predicted model, not a curated record. The transcript has 2 exons. NCBI's taxonomy places the organism in Eukaryota, Metazoa, Arthropoda, Merostomata, Xiphosura, Limulidae.